This is a small nuclear RNA of Otolemur garnettii (small-eared galago), 62 nucleotides long. Its record names the gene U7. It matches the Rfam family "U7 small nuclear RNA". Rfam says of the family: Animal histone pre-mRNAs are spliced by a different mechanism than nuclear pre-mRNAs and self-splicing introns. This processing involves the U7 snRNP, which contains only one RNA species: U7. The record is from Ensembl. NCBI's taxonomy places the organism in Eukaryota, Metazoa, Chordata, Mammalia, Primates, Galagidae.
UAGUGUUAGGGCUCUUUUAGAAUUUGUCUAGUAGGUUUUCCAGUCCUCACUGGAAGACCCCU